RNAcentral lists this ribosomal RNA (484 nucleotides) under uncultured bacterium. RNAcentral's name for it is "partial 16S ribosomal RNA". It matches the Rfam family "Bacterial small subunit ribosomal RNA", at positions 29 to 523 of the family's 1533-position model. The record is from RNAcentral.
AGUGAACGCUGGCGGCGUGCUUAACACAUGCAAGUCGAACGAGAACGGGUUAUAGCUUGCUAUAAUUGUCAGCUAAGUGGCGCACGGGUGAGUAAUGUAUAGGUAAUAUGCCUCUUACUAAGGGAUAACAAAUGGAAACGUUUGCUAAUACCUUAUACUCCUUAUUAACAGAAGUUAAUAAGGGAAAGAUUUAUUGGUAAGAGAUUAGCCUGUAUUGUAUCAGUUAGUUGGUGGGGUAAUGGCUUACCAAGACUAUGACACAUAACUGGUUUGAGAGGAUGAACAGUCACACUGAAACUGAGACACGGUCCAGACUCCUACGGGAGGCAGCAGUGGGGAAUAUUGCACAAUGGACGAAAGUCUGAUGCAGCGACGCCGCGUGGAGGAUGACACAUUUCGGUGCGUAAACUCCUUUUAUAUGAGAAGAUAAUGACGGUAUUAUAUGAAUAAGCACCGGCUAACUCCGUGCCAGCCGCCGCCGUAA